GAGCAAGACGACCACGAGCCUGCAGCUGUGGUCACAGCAGAGCCUGAUGGUUCCAAGGGAAUUCUUCCAGAGAAAGAGCAGGAGCAGAUUGCAUUAUCAGAGAUGCCAUGCCAGACUCAGGGAGAGCUGAGAGCCCGAGAGCAGGAAGAGCAGCUCAGGCAGCAGGUGGAAGAGCCACAGGAGAAUGGCCAGAGCAUCAAGGCAGAGCCACAAGCAGAGCAGCCCGAAGCUCAGAGUGCCAUCAUGGAAGUAAAGA
Long non-coding RNA from Vidua macroura (Pin-tailed whydah), 256 nucleotides. RefSeq lists it as uncharacterized. The record is from RefSeq and is a predicted model, not a curated record. Lineage: Eukaryota; Metazoa; Chordata; Aves; Passeriformes; Viduidae. The transcript has 3 exons.